Raphanus sativus (radish) is the source of this 4838-nucleotide RNA transcript. RefSeq lists it as uncharacterized. The transcript has 6 exons. The record is from RefSeq and is a predicted model, not a curated record. NCBI's taxonomy places the organism in Eukaryota, Viridiplantae, Streptophyta, Magnoliopsida, Brassicales, Brassicaceae.
CGUGAAUUUGUUUUUCUUGGUUCCAUUCAUAUGUUGUUUUAGGGCUUGAUUUUUUUUCUUUUUUUUUUGUCAUCGGCUUGAUCGAUUGUUUUUUUUUUACGAUUUUGAUUUAGGGUUUCAAGUUUCAUUAAUCGUUCCUUUGAUUAUUAUUGUUGUAGCGAUCCUGGAAAGCGCUUGAAUCGGAGUGGAAUUAUCGUUCGAGUUACAGGGGGGUGUGGAGAAACCAUCAUUGACAGAUUGAAGAUCAGUGGGAAUCUUUUGACUUGAACGGCUAAAGAAGUAGCAACAACAAAAACAGAUAAGUUCUUUUACUUCUUUACUCUUUUAUGUUUUAUUGUGGAACCGGUAGACACUGCUCUAUCUUACUUCAGUUUUAGUUUUUAUCAAACCCCAAAUAGAUCAUGGGCAGACACUUAUCUAAUAGUGUUCUUGCCAGAUUCUUAUUUUGGGGGACAUUGUCCCGAGUCCCUGUUGCGUAAAAAGCUUUAGACCGAGAGGAUAUUUAAACCCAUCUCCCUAGAAACUGUUGGUUGUGGUAGUGCAUGUCUAAGAAACAUAUGUUUUGUGGGAUGGAAAGUAAAACAUAUUUUAGUACCCACGGCUUUUCAGAAACAACCAUCGGCUUAAAAUAGUCUUUAGACAGAAAAAAAUAGCUAUGUCUUUAGACAAAAGGCUAUGAAUUGGUUUGAGCUUGUUGGAUGGAAAAUAACGACCACAAGUCAUGAAAACUAAUUGUCCCGAGUCCCGUUGCGUUAUGAAAAGUAGUUGGAAAAUCUAGUUACCCACGGCUUUUGUUUAUGGGUGGUUUUAAACCAUAUUGGUAUGUACGGUUGGAGAGAGAUGUCUUCAGACAAAGACUCUCGAUCCAAACCACAUCCAUUGCUUACCCACAGCUUUAUGAAGCAAGUGAUGUUUGAGGAUGCAGAGUGUGAUAAAAAUUAGUACCCACAGCUUAAAAACAACAACUCUUUUGACAGAGAUUGUGAUUGAAAACGUAUGCAUACGUCAGUACCCACGGCUUAAAAACCAGUUUUAAGACAGAGACUGAGAUUGAAAACGUAUGCAUUACGUCAGUACCACACGGCUUGCAAAAGGUCUUUAGAAAAAGACUGUGAUUAAAAAACGUUUUCAGUACAUCUGUGUACCCACGGCUUUGCAAAACAGUCUUUAGACAGAGACUGUGAUUAAGAUAUCGUCAUCACAUAUGUACUAAGGCUUGCAAAAAAGGCUUUUAGACAGACUCUGAAGGAAAACGUCUUUGUCACAUUUGUACCCACGGCUCUAGACAAAGACAAUGAGUGAACAACACGUCUUUAUUAGACAAAAAGGCUAUGAAUUGGUUUGAGCUUGUUGGAUGGAAAACAACGACCACAAGUGAAGAAAACUAAUUUUCCCAAGUCCCCAUUGCGUGAAAUAACGAUCACAAGUUAUGAAAAGUAGAUGGAAAAUCUUGUUACCCGCGGCUUUUGUUAAUGGGUGGUUUUAGACAAUAUUAGUAUGUAAGAAGUCUUCAGACAAAGACUCUAGAUCUAAACCACAUCCAUUGCUUAUCCACAGCUCUAUGAAGCAAACGAUGUUUGAAGAUGCAAAGUGUGAUACAAUUAGUACCCACGGCUUAAAAAAACAAGUCUUUAGACAGGACUUGAUUGAAUAAACGUAUUCAUUACGUUUGUACCACGGCUUGCAAAAAAAAAGGUCUCGAGACAAAGACUGUGAAUAAUAAAAUUAGUACCAACGGCUUGCAAAAAAGGUAUGUAGACAAAGACUGUUAUUAAAAACGUUUUCAGUACCCACGGCUUUGCAAAACGGACUUUAGACAGAGACUGUGAUUAAGAUAUCUUCAUCACAUAAGUACUAAGGCUUGCAAAAAGGUCAUUAAGACUGAGUUUUCAUCACACUUGUACCCACGGCUUAUGAAAAGUAUUAAGACAAAAGCUGGUAACUGAAAACAGAUUGCUUUAAGACAAAGACUUGCCAAAAAGGUCUUUAGACACGGCUGUGAAUGAAAAAUUCUUUAUCACACUUGUACCCACGGCUUUGCAAGAUAGUCUACAGACAAAGACAGUGAGUGAACACCUCCUCAAUAUGUUAACUGUGAGUCUGUGAUUGAAAAAAGUCUGUGAUGUAAUUGUAUUCGUCAGAAUGUACCCACGGCUAGACAAAGACUGGGGUUGAACGUGUUCAAAUUAUACAUUAGUACUUAUGGCUAAGAAAAGACCAACGGCUUACAAAUAAAAGUUGUAGACAAAGGCUAUAUGAUCGUCCCAAUGGCUCUAAAAAAACUAUUGGUUGUUUACAAAAACAACCAUCGGCUUACAAAAUGUCUUUAGACAGAAAAUGACUAUGUCUAAGGCUAAUGAGAUUUGGAAGGAUUCAUUAAAGACAGACUAUGAGUUGGUCUUGGAGAUAACGAUCCCAGUUUAUGAAAAAUAAUUGGAAAAUCUUGCUACCCACGGCUUGCUUUAUUACGGUUUGAGAUAAGUCUUCAGACAAAGACUCUAAAUCUAAACCACAUCCAUUGCUUUACCCAAAGCUCUAAGAAGCAAAAGAUGUUCAAGGAUGCAAAAGUGUGACAAAAAUUUAGUACUAACAGCUUAUAAACAAGUCUUUAGACAGAGACACUGAUUGUAAAUGUAUCUAGUACCCACGGCUUGCAAAAAUGAAGUCUUUACACUGAUUUAAAAUGUAUUCGUUACAUUAGUAUAUAGUACCCACGGCUUCACAAAGAGUCAUCAGACAAAGACUGAAUCUAGAAAAAAUUUCAGACAUCUGCUAAGUUGCUUUUCCAGUACCCACGGCUUGGAAACUUUACUGCUCAAUAAACGUCUCAAGGCAAAAGACUAUGAGCUGAAAAAACAUUUUGUAAUUUACAGUAACCCACGGCUUAUAAAAGGUUGGAUUCACUAAGUACCCACGGCUUAUAAAGAAGUUUAGACAAAGACAGAUUCAUUAUAUAAGUACCUGCGGCUUAUGAAGUCUUGAGACAGAGACUUAUGUACCGAAAACUAGUUCUUCACAUUAACCACAAGGCUUAAAAAUCACUAGAGUAAAAAGCGACAGACGGUUGAAAAAGACUAUAAAUCAAAAACAGACUACAUAGCAUUUAGAAAAAGACUGCACAUCAGUUUUUGGCUUUGUUGGAUGGGAAACAUAACCAAUGGUUUAAACCAAAUCUUUAAGAUAGAGACUAUAAACAAAAUUGGGUUUUAGCUUGUUUGUUGGAUGGUUAGAACGACCAACAGCUUACACCAUGAACCAAAACUAACACUAUUCCUUUCUUUUAUUAUUUCCGGCUCAGCUCAGAAGCUAGAAAGCUACUAAUCGAGUCUUAUGUUGCUCUAUGCAGAGGUUCUACACAGCUUGAUGCAAUGAUCAGGCUCUCAGAAGCAAUUGCUAGGAGUUAACAAGUUGUCAAUUUUCUUUAUCUCUGAACUUUGUUUUUUUUUUUCAGGUGAAACCGAGUCAUGUUCUUUUAUAGCUGUCCGACUUCUUCAGUUAUCAAAAGUGUUAAGUCAGGGGAUAUCGAUCUUCCAGAAGGGUGCAUCCGAGCCAGCUCCUGCUACUGCAAAUACUUAAGCACAUCUUCCUUUUGAUCUGAGUCACUUAAGAACCAUAACAAACAUCAUUGUGUUUUCUAAACAGAUAAUGGAGAAGCAGCUCCGAUGAAAGAAUCACACAGGCUUUAAGUCAUUCGCCUUAGACAACACGAAGAAACUGUUCCGACGGAAUCAGCAGAACGAGAAAAAGUAAUACCGUUCGCAAGAGCAAGUCAAACUUGAUAUCAAGAAACUCAGAGCCAUUAUGAGGUUUUGUAUGUGCUUCAGAAGAGUCAAAGAUGAUUUCCAGUGUAUCAGAUAUCUUUGACAGGUAUGUGCAUUUCAAAUUUGUUUGUUACUUUGGUUGAUACAAUUAUGAAAAUUACAAGCAGGAGAAGCUGAUAUGAAGUGAAGACUAGUUCCAUUUUUUUUAGUUGUGUGCUUCAUAAACUGUUCAUACCCCUCAUUGAGGCCAAGGCUUUGUUCAGAGAUGUCGGGAUUACAUUUAAAUGCUUCAAAAUCAUCUAUAUUGGCCGUAGGACAGAAGGCUGUGAGAAAGGACUAACAGUAGCCUCCUUGCCCAUCAGAUACCUGGGAAUGCCUUUAACUUCGAAGGUUUGGAGUAAACCUGACAAUGAACCUCUGGUUAAUCAACUCAGAAAUUUCUAUCUUGAACGCACAGAGCCUUGACGUUUGCAGGCAGGCUACAACAUAUCAAGUCUGUUAUUACAAGUACUGUUAAUUUUUGGAGUUUUGCUUAUAUUCUUCCAAAGGGCUUCUUGGAAACCAUAGAUAGUAUGUGUAGUGCAUUCUUGUGGGCGGGCUCUCCAACCAAAGCUCAUAAAGAGAAAGUUGCUUGGGCUGAUAUUUGCCAUACUAAAGAAGAAUGAGGAUUGGGUAUACGUAAGCUAGAAGACAUUUGCCGCUGCUUUGCGUUGCGCCUCAUAUGGCGGCUCUUUCCUCAUCAUGAUUCAUACUGGGUGGCUUGGACUAAAAAAUAUCUUCUCAAGGAUGGAUCUUAAUAGGACGUAAUGGAAGGUACAUCAGGUUUGUGGGCAUGGUGUAAAUUUCUGAAGCUUUUUCCUCUGGAUUUCGAAUUUUUGCGAGUUGAUACAAGGUGGAUGUUCUACUUAUUUUUGGUUUGAGAUUUUUGAGUUUAAAAAUCUAUUCGGGUUUGAGAUUUUUAAGUUUAAAAACUCUAGCUCUAUUCGGGUAUUUAUAAGCUUUGGUUCCGAUUUGAUUUGGAUCUUUGCGGGUUUGAUAACCAGUUUAAACUAUUUUAAAAAUUUUUAAAUUUAUAUA